Molecule: long non-coding RNA, 1942 nt
Organism: Marmota monax (woodchuck)
Lineage: Eukaryota; Metazoa; Chordata; Mammalia; Rodentia; Sciuridae
Exons: 3
Source: RefSeq, a predicted model, not a curated record
GAGAUAAACAUCUCAGACAUGGACAUUUUUCACAUCCUGUUCACAUUUUUCCAGGCAUGAUUUCUCUGCCUUGGCAUACAUUAGCAGAAGAGCCCUCUUUUCAAACAAAAUAUGAAAAAAAGUCAGUAUGCAGACAGGAGUGGUGCCUUGGUGGGAAGUUAGUUUCCCCUCAUUCACUGUCUCCACCCACCUCCUGAUGUGACCCAGAACACAUUCCUUUUAUAAGCCCCAUGUACAAGCUUGCUCAGAGGGCCACAGUCUUGAUGGUGUCAUGAAGAAGAAAAGAAAUGGCAACAGCUCACAAUUCAGUUCCCACAUAUGCAAAAAAACACAAAAGGGGGAAAUAUUGCUUCUGACUCUUGGUUCUGCAGUAGAGAUGUCAACAAAUUACAUGACAAUUCUGAACAGCUCUCUGACUCAGGGCAUCUAUUAGGAUCCUCUGUGUAACUGUUGUCCUCUGGGAGCUUGACUUGAGCUGGAAGUCCACGAUGGCUCUACUGACAGAGUGGGCAUCGCAGCGAAGUUGGCUGUGAGGUAGCUGGGCCACUUUCCUACAUUGUAGUCAACCUGGGUUUUGCCUCAUGAACAAAUAAAAGCAGAAGUUGUCAGACCUCAUAAGUGCUGGGCCUAGAACUUGCACAACAUAGUUUCCAUCACAUUCUAUAUGUAACAACAAAUCAGAAGGCACAACGGGAAGGGAAAUAGAUUUCAUGCUUGAUGGGAGAAGCAGCCUGCUAAUGUAGGGAGAGGGUGAGUAUUUGGCAAGCUUCUUCACAGUUUACUACAUUUUUUUCUAUUUUGUCUAAUCCCUUUAUUUAUCAGCUAAGACAGUUCUUAAUGACAAAUACACACCACAACUGUAUAACUAACAUAUUUAGCAACAAAACACUUUAUAAUUUCUAUGCAUAGUAAUAUGUACCCAUAAGUAAUAUUUUCCACAUCAUCAAAGAACCAGUGAUGAAAUCAUUAUAAAAUGCUGUGGUAAGAAAGGUGUAGGGAGGGGAGUGUGAACUGAUUUUCUUUUAAAUCCUUUCUUUUUAAUUCCCUUUUGGAAAGUCACAGUGCAUAUAAGUGUAGAAAAAAAAUUCUAGUAGUACUAAAGGAAAAGUACUUGUUUUUAAAAGGAAUUUGGGCUAGCUUCCCUUCAUAUUUACCUAUGUUGAGAUGAUUUCUUCACUUUGCUUUGAGGUGCUUUAAAGAAACUUUUAGUCAGGUGUUCCAUAAUAAGAGAAUUAUGUGAUGCCCACACAAAUAACCCAAUCAAUAAAUGGGCAAAAGUAGCAAAUAGUCUUUUCUCAAAAGAAGAAACACAAAUGGACAAUACAUGAAAAAAUGUUCAACAUCCCUAGCAAUCAAGGAAAUGCAAAUCAAAACUACAUUGUGAUUUCAUCUCACCCAAGCUAAAAUGGCAAUCAUCAAGCAUAGAAAUAAUAAUAAAUGCUGACAAGGAUAUGGGAAAAAGAUGCACUCAUAUAUUGUUGGUGGGAUUUCAAAUUAGUACAACCACUUUGGAAAACAGUAUGAAGAUAUUUUGAAAAUCUAGGAAUGAAACCACCAUCUGAUUCAGCCAUUCCACUUCCUGAUAUUUAUCCAAAAGAAGUAAAAUCUUCAUACUAUAGUGACACAUGCAUACCAAUGCUUAUAGCAAUAUAGUUCACAACAUUUAAAUUAUGGAAGCAUCCCAGAUGCCUGUCAACAGAUAAAUGGAUUAAAAAAACCUGUGGUAUAUAUUUACAUAUGGAGUUUUACUCAGUCAUAAAGAAGAAUAAAAUUAUGGAAUUUGCCAGUAAAUGGAUAGAACUAGAGAACAUCAUGCUAAGUGAAAUAAGUCAGAUGCAGAAAUUCAAGGGUCAAAUGUUUUAUCUCAUAUGUGGAAGCUAGAGCAAAACAAGGGGAAAAUCAUGGGAGACGCCAUGAAAAUAGAAGGUAGGUCAAUGGAGUA